Populus euphratica (Euphrates poplar) is the source of this 2800-nucleotide long non-coding RNA. RefSeq lists it as uncharacterized. The transcript is spliced from 3 exons. NCBI's taxonomy places the organism in Eukaryota, Viridiplantae, Streptophyta, Magnoliopsida, Malpighiales, Salicaceae. The record is from RefSeq and is a predicted model, not a curated record.
AUAGUAAAAGAAGUAUUGACAGUGAGGGUUUUACACCAAACUAGGAAAAAAAAUGGAAAGAAAUAACUCCAUUAAAUUCCUUCUCUUCUAAAAAAGAGAGAUCUAAGAGUUUUUGGAUCAAUUGAUAAGACAGACAUAUUUAUAAAAGGAAUCCAUAACCUUAAUUUCAAUUAUAUCAUUAUAUAUGAUUUGUGUAAUUCUCUUUUAUAAGGAAUAUUAUAAAAGAACCAAUCGAGUUCAACCAACUGGUUUUAGAUAUUUUAAAUUUGGAGCUUAUUGACGAGGGAGAGCUUUCUAAGAUGAUUUGAUGAGUGAGGUCAUUUCACUAGGCCCAGCCUAGUCUCAGCAAAGCAGCAAAUAAAGCUUAUUCUGUCCAUUAUCAAGCAAACAUCAUGUUCAAGCCCAAAGAACUCUCUGAAAUAGGUUUAGCCCAAAAAAGCACUCCAAUCGUUCGGCUUUAGCCUUGGUAUCCAAGGAACAUCACGUGGAUACGAGGCUGAGUCCCCCAGUAAGCCUGAUCAAGUCUAGCUCAUCAACAACACCUUUUCCCCCCUUCCAGUCAUUUCCAUAGGUAAGUUUAACACAACGUCUUCUCAUGGAAAACAACCAGCUCCAUUUUCGAAAUCCAAGCUUCCCUUUCCUUCACUCUCCCAUUUCUUUUUCGGCGGGCUUCAUUUUAUAAGCGUAAGCCAUAUAAAUAGUCAUUCUAUGAAGGGUAAGCCAAAAAAGUUAGUUUCUUCACUCGAUUCUCUAUUCUCUAUUCAUUUAAUCCUUAUCCCUAUACAAAUACCACUUCAUAGUUUCUAGACCAGCUAGUUUAGGGUAAGCGAACCCUGAACUCCGUAGUUCUUCUAGAAUGAACAUCUAUCUAGCUUCAGAUGUUGUUUCCUAUAUGGAUCGCUAAACUAUGGAGCUAAGAGCCGAAUCCCUUGAAUUCUCUCAACCUCGUGAUUAUAGUUCCUAAUUUUCUGACUAUGAUAUGGUCUCUGUCAGCCUUACCAGCCGUCCAAGAUGAACCGAAUUGAUCUUUUUGGCCCCCUCAGCCAUGCAUUCCCGUCUUCAUUUAGCAGCAAAUUAACUCAAGGAUAACCUUUAUGUAUGAGCUGGAAAGGAGGUAUCUACAGAUACCAAACAAACUAGCUAGUUUGAGAAGAUCGUUAAAUAAGAGGCGGAUCUAUAGAGUCUUUACUUCCUCGACUCCUUAUUCAUAGUUCAGAUAAUCCAACCUCCACCGGUCAGCAGCACCAAAGAGAAUCAUCAUAACAUUUUUUCUGAAAUAAGAACUCAUCAAGAGAUGAGAUGUAGGUAAUGUCGUUUGAUCACAGUCACGAGAUUUGUCUGCAGCUACUAUAUCUAAUCAAUCUUCUGUUUUCAUUCUAUUUGAUUGGAGAUUAGAACGUGAUAUGAAAACGGAUCCAGGAAUCCCCGGAUAAUGGUUGUUAAGUUGGUAAAAUCCGAUAAUCAAUUGGUUUUAGAAAGACUUUCCUAACCUAGACAUUGUAACGGAAAGUCCUGUCUAUUUUUAGGGUUUUUAUAGUCCUUGAAAAUCUUCUUCGUUUACUGGCUUGAAAAAAUUUGUAAGCUAUGGAUUUCACUAAUGGAAUGAUGGAAUGGAACUAUAACCAUACUUCCAUGGUCUACCAUGAUACUUGGGUUACUUGGCAGGUAUACUGUCACAGUAAAUUCUCACGGGUCUGGGGGAGAUUAAGUAGACGCUGCAAUGUGACCCAACUGGAGUCUCGGCGUCUUGGAAGCAGCAACAAAAGUUGUGAAGGACGAGGAAGAAAUUAAGCAAAGUGUGAAGAAUUAAAUCAUCUGGUAAGAUCAUCUCUGAAUGAAGUUACGAACUUCACUACUUCUUAUUGUUUGUUAGGUUUUCUCUAUUUAUUUUAUUAUCUCUAACAGGUUCAAGAAAGCAGUAACUCUCAGUUUUCUAGAAUUAAGAAAUUAAAAAGACGACUGGAUUGAGCCCUAAACCCAAGUAGAGCAUCCAUGUCUCCUCCUCAUAGAAAUUGUUGAAAGUUUGCACUUGUGGUUAUCCAUGGGAUGGAAAACCAAUGGGAACUGCACCGAACAACCCAGUUCAAGAUGCUUCGAUUCCAUUUCCAACAGAAACUGGUGCCGGAGUCGCUAAGAAUGCUCCUCAACACGCAAAUGGGGGAAAUGUCCAAGUCAUGAAUGAGCAAAAUCAACAGCCUAAUGUCAAGGUAGAAGGAAGGGGGAGGCGAAUCGGGACUGUUCCCAAGGGUAGAGGAUAUUCCCAACCUGGCUGGACGGUGGCAGGAUUUGAUGUCGAUGGUAGAAGUUAGAAGCAACAUUUCAUAUUCUCCUAUACUGAAACUGUGAGCACCUCUACUUUUGCUCCACCAAGCAUGCUCUUUGUUCCAUAUACGCUGGCUGAUUUUUCCUACCGUGUUUAUUCAAUUGACUAUAGCUUGUUGAUAUAGAAAAUGCCCUCUGACCUUUUGAACUUCACAUUGCCACUUACCCUUGCCAUCAAUUCCUCAUUCAAGGAAGUAUCGCUCAAGAACAUUUCUUAUUCUUUACUCUUUAACUAGCCAAAGCUGCGACCUGAAGCUCUAGACUCUCCUUGUCCCUUUACAUAUUGCUUAAUAUUUUCUGCCCUGUGUAUGUAUUCUUUCACGUGUAUAUUGUCUGUUGAUAUAGAAGUGGUAUUUGAUCCUACUUCCCACUGCUGCUUCACUUGUGUUGCAAAUAGAGUCCUUCGAUAUUGUUUUCCCAUGUAAAUUAAACAUCUGUUGUUCUUCACUUUUAUUCUGACUAUAGCUGUACGUUUAAA